AUGGAUAGCACCGCAAAUUCUUCUACAAAUCCUGGUAGCCAUUCAGUCCAACGCGGUCGUGGGCGCCCCCGUCAUCAGUCACAACCAGUUGUCAUACCUGAAAUAAACCAAUCUGCUUCUUCCGAUAACCACCACCGACGUACACAACUUAGAAAUAGAGCAAAAACAUCUACAGAUGAACGUUCAGUACGCCGACGAUUAACCGGAGAGUCCUCUACGUCAGCUUCCCAAACACCAAAUUUGGCAUUAAUCCAUAAUCGAACUAUCUUUCAACCCUUAAACCUUGGGGGGGGGCACCAUUCAUGCAAACAUUGUGGUUCUUUGUUUUGGUAUGAAGAGCGUAUCCGCAGAGAGAGAUAUACUUUUGAUCCAACAUAUAAUUUUUGUUGUAAAGGAGGGAAAAUCUUGCUGAAACCAUAUGAUCCUCCUCCUUAGCCUCUAUUGGAUUUAUUAACCUCACAGAACACUGCAACUUCGAACCACUUUUUUGAUCAUAUCUGGCAGUAUAAUACCAUGUUUUCGAUGACUUCAAUGGGUGCUAAAGUUAUUGAAUCCAUAAAUGAUGGCCGAGCACCCUAUGUUUUCAAGAUUAGUGGUCAAGUCUGCCAUCGUAUCGGUUCUCUAAUGCGACCUGAGAAUCAUCGACCAAAAUAUGCACAAUUGUACAUCUAUGAUACAGAGCAUGAGGUUAGAAACCGCAUAAAUAUUACUGCAUCUUCUCGCCCUUCAUCAUCUCGGUCUUCGUCUGCCCGCCCUUCUUUCAAUGCUAAUCAAGAUAUUGUCCAGUCCCUUAUAUCGAUGCUUAACACCCAUAAUCCCAUAGUGAAACUAUUUAGAACAGCACGGGAAAGAUUGACUGCAGAUGCUCCUGAUCAGUUCUUUAUUAGAUUAUAUGGCAAACCUGACGCACAUGGAGACAUCUAUAGUGCUCCGGUCGCAUCUGAGGUUGUAGGGUUGGUUGUUGGUGAUAUUGGGUCAACUGAUGUUGGGCGGGACAUUAUAAUAGAUAACCGUUCAUCAGGAUUACAACAAAUCAAUGAAAAACAUUGCAAGUUUAUGGCUAUGCAGUAUCUUCUAUUAUUUCCAUAUGGAGAGGAUGGUUACCAUGAUGACAUGUACCGCACCUCGCCAUAAAGUCAAGCUAUAAGCCGUUAGAAAGUAACUAUGCUAGAGUACUAUGCAUAUAGACUACAUGAUAGACCAGGUGAUUUCAACACGCCAUUGAGAGGUAAAAGAUUGACACAUGCUUAUGAAGUGGAUGGUUAUUGUUGUGUUGAAGAAUUUCGUAUUGCAUUCUAUCACAAGCCCGGAUUUCAGAAAAAAUAUAGAUCAUCACCAUAUAAUGGCUUGGCCAAUUCUGUCUAA
Molecule: ribosomal RNA, 1365 nt
Filed under: Triticum aestivum (bread wheat)
Lineage: Eukaryota; Viridiplantae; Streptophyta; Magnoliopsida; Poales; Poaceae
Description: partial small subunit ribosomal RNA
Source: RNAcentral